CAGUCGCCACGGUAAUACGGAGGGUGCAAGCGUUAAUCGGAAUUACUGGGCGUAAAGCGCACGCAGGCGGUUUGUUAAGUCAGAUGUGAAAUCCCCGAGCUUAACUUGGGAACUGCAUUUGAAACUGGCAAGCUAGAGUCUUGUAGAGGGGGGUAGAAUUCCAGGUGUAGCGGUGAAAUGCGUAGAGAUCUGGAGGAAUACCGGUGGCGAAGGCGGCCCCCUGGACAAAGACUGACGCUCAGGUGCGAAAGCGUGGGGAGCAAACAGGAUUAGAUACCCCGGUAGUCCCUGUCUCUUAUAU
Molecule: ribosomal RNA, 301 nt
Filed under: uncultured bacterium
Lineage: Bacteria
Description: partial 16S ribosomal RNA
Rfam family: Bacterial small subunit ribosomal RNA
Source: RNAcentral